CCCAAACAUGAUCACUGUAGAGGGAGGACUGACAGGCUGGGCUGUUUGAACAAGCUGGUGCUUGGGUCAUUUCUCUUUAGUCCUGUCUGGUUGGACACUAGUCCACGAUUCGUAGUCUCCUCUCAAAAUACAAUCACCUCCAUCUCCUCCUCUCUUCAAUUCAUUCUUGGAUGUCACCCUCACUUCCUGCUUCACCAAGAAAAAAAAAACUAAGAGAAAGGAACUGACUCAACUUGCAUAGUUCUCCUUUCUCUGCUGCCUCCUCAGGGACUCCCUCCCUCAAUUAUCCCCCAGAUCUCAGCGGGACGCCUUUUCUCCUUCUGACCUCGGACAUCAGACUUCAGGUUCUUCAGCCUUUGGACUCUGGGGCUUGCACCAGCGGCUUCCGUGGGGCUGUCAGGCAUUUGGCCUCAGGCUGGGAGCUGCUCUGCCAGCUUCCCUGCUUCUCAGGUUCCACACUUGGACUGGCUCACUGAGUUUGUGGGGCUUUUCAUGUUCAUAACAUCAUGAUGCUCAUCACAUCAUGAACCCUGAAAUAAUAAACAGUCUUCUCAAGAUCGUUAAACACCUAUUCUGCUGUCAGAUUCUGUAGAUAUUGGAAGUGGCUUUGGGUUCAUAUAACUCUCGGGUGUGACUCCUAGCUCCUCUGUUUAGCAGCUGUUUGGCCUUCUGCAGUUGGCUUCUAUCAUUCCCCAGCUUGCAGAAAUCAUUUAAACCUAUCUGGUGGAGGGAUCUUACCUUUAUGGUCAUGUGAGCCAAUUCUCUUUAAUAAAUUCCCUUUCAAAUAUAUGUUUUCUAUGGAUUCUGUCCCUCUGGAGAAGGAAGCCUGACUAAUACACCUAUGAUAAAGUGUAAUUUAUAAAUGAGGCAUAGUAAGAGUAACAACAAUAAAAAAAAAUAGAACAUUAUAACAAUACACUGUAAUAAAGUUACAUGAAUGUCUCUCUCAGGACAUCUGAUUGCACUAUGCUCACCCUUCUUGUGCUGAUGUGAGAAGAUACAAUGCCUUUGUGGUGAGAUGAAGUGAGACAAAUGAGUUAGAAAUUGUGACAUAGCAUUAUUAAAUAAAAUAAGGGUGACGUGCAUACAAGCACAUCAUAGUUCAUGAUAAGCACUGCCAUAUCAUGACCAUUGAGCUGAUAACUGAGACAGUUGCUAGUUGACUCAGGGGUUGAUGACAUCUACAGUGUGGAUUUGCUGGACAAAGGGAUGAUUCAUACCUUGGGUGGGACAGAGCAGGACUGGGAAAGAUUUUAUCACUCUACUCAGAACAAUGCACAAUUUAAAACUUAUGAAUUGUUGAUUUUGGGAAUUUUCCAUUUAAUAUUUUCAGUCUGUGGUUGACCUUGGGUAAAUAAAACUGGAAAAGAGGAGACAACUGUAUUAGCUGGCAGAGAGAAAAAUGGGACUUGCUUCCCUGAACAGCCCCCAGAAACUUAGUGGAAACCAUAAAAUUUUUAUGUUGCCCAUUCAUAGACACUCACAUGUUGGGUAAGGGUGUGAGGCUUCUGGGGUUUCCACAUUUACAGGAUGGUCCAGGAGCUACCUCUACAGGACAUGGCAAGACAAAGGCAGAAGCAAGUUCCUCAAUCUUGUGCCUUUUCAGACUACCUACCUAGAAAAGAACGUGAACAGACAUUUCUCAAAAGAAGACAGACAAGUGGCCAAGAAACAUAUGAAAAAAUGUUGAACCUCACUAAUCAGCAGAGAAAUGUGACUCAAAACCGCAGUGAGACACCAUCUCAUACCAGUCAGAAUGGCCAUCAUUAAAACAUCAAAAAAUAAUAAAUUUUGGCUAGGUUGCAGAGAAACGGGAACUCUUAUACACUGUUGGUGGGAAUGUAGAUUAGUUUAGUCACUGUGGACACCAGUUUGGAUAUUUCUCAAUUCUCUUGCUGGCUGUAUACCCAAAGGAAAAUAAAUUGUUCUAUCAAAGACACAUGAACACGAAUGUUUAUUGCAGCGCUAUUCACAAUGGCAAAGACAUUGAAUCAAUCUAUGUGCUCAUCAAUGGCAAAUUGGAUUUAAAAAAAAGUGGUACAUAUACAUCAUGGAAUACUAUGCAGCCAUAAAAAAACCCAAAAUGAUGUCCUUUGCAGCAACAUGGUUGCAGCUGGAGGCCAUUAUCCUAAGUGAAUUAAUGCAGAAACAGAAAACCUAAUACUGCAUUUUCUCGCUCAUAAGUAGGAGCUAAACAUUGGGUACACAUGGACAUAAAAAUGGAAAUGGUAGACACUGGGGACUCCAAGGGAGAGGUAGGUGGGAGAAGGGGAAGGGUUGAAAAACUACCUAUUAGGUUUUUUUGUUUGUUGGUUGGUUUCUUGUUUUUUGAGACAGUCUCACUUUGUCUCCCAGGCUGGAGUGCAGUGGUGCAGUCUCGGCUUACUGCAACCUCCACCUCAGGAGUUCCAGUGAUUCUCCUGCCUCAGCCUCCUGAGUAGCUGGGAUUACAGGUGCAUGCCACCAUGCUUGGCUAAUUUUUUGUAUUUUUAGUAGAGACGGGGUUUCACCUGGUUGGCCAGAUUGGUCUUGAGCUCCUGACCUCAAGUGAUCUGCCCGCCUUGGCCUCCCACAGUGCUGGGAUUACAGGAGUGAGCCACCGCGCCUGGCCCUUAUUAGGUAUUAUGUCCACUAUUUGGGUGACGGGAUCAGUAGAAACCCAAAGCUCCGCAUGGGUGCAAUAUACCCUUGUAGGAAACCUGCACAUGUGGCCCUUGAAUCUAAAAUUAAAAAUAGGAAAAGGACUACCGAUCUAAAAACUAGGCUCUUUUACUAACUCCAGGAUAUUUGCUGGUAAACCUUUGUGUGCAGCUCUCUGAAACAGCUCCAGAAUUCUUGACUCUAGGAAGAAAAUGGUACAUAGCAAGUUAAUGUAGUAGAAUACUUACUGCAGUUGAAAUCAGAGGAUCUGGAUUUAUUUCUCUAUUAUUUUCUGCUUUGUGACCAGGGGCAAGUUUAGUCAUCUCUCUUAGACUCAGGUUUUAUCAUUAAAAAAAUGUGAUAAGCUGGUUUUACUUAUGCCAUAAAGUUGUUGUGAGAUUAAAAAUCAAAUAAAAAUGUUUUUCAGCUUUGAAAACAGCCCCGCAGCAUCAUAAUGCAAGCAUUAUUAUUAAAAUCUGGGAAUGACGGUGCUAGGACAUUGGGUAAGAGCCAGGACAUCUGGAUGGUUAUGAGCCUAGAGGAGUCAUUUAACCUUCUGAUACUUCAGGGUUUCCAGUAGCUAAAUAGUGAUAUUAUUAACAUCAUCUGCCUCACAGGGUUUUAGGAUAUUUACUAUCCCAAAUAAAGCUGCCUUGGGACAUUUGACUUUUUUUUCUCAUUGUUGAGGUCUUAGCUAGUGAUAUAAUAAGAAGUGAGGGAUCCACAAAUAAAUUAGGUCAGAAAUUACCUUAUUAUUGUAAAAUACAGGAAUCUGGAUAUUUCUUGCAAUCCUGUUUAUUUUCUCCUCUGGAGCUGGAGAAAGGAGGCAUUUGGCAGAUAUUUCCUUUUGUCUGAAUCUGGCUUUCUCUCCAUUUCAUUUGGCACUUUCUCUACUUACGAAAGCCAUGGGUAAUUAACUUCCAUCUACUAAGUCACUGAGGUCCUCUGCACUACUUCCUCAAGAAUUAAUUUCUAAAAUGAACUGCCAGCUAGGUUUUCCUGCACUUAAGCGGUAAACUCCUGCAAGCUACCUGCCAAGAGAACAUGGUAUAAGGGGGUAUUGCACACACACACACAAUGUGUAUAGCACCAAAAAUGGGCUGGUUAACAUAAAAGGUGGGGUGGCACAGCCAUUUUAGAGCCCAACGCUGGAGCUGGACUUCGUGGAUUUGAACCCCAUCUUCUGAUUGCGUGACUUUGGGCAAGUUACCUGAUUUUCUCGUACAUCUAUUUUCUCUUCUAAAAAAUAGGAAUGAUGAGAGUACCAUUUACAUAAGUUUGUUGUAAAGAUCAAAUCACAUUAUAGACAAAAUGCUUAGAACAGUACCUGGCACAUGGUAAGAUUAUAUGGGGUUUUCCUAUCCUGGCCAUCAGACUAGAGAUCCAUGUUUGGAAACUCAGAUCCCUCCAGGAGCCAGAGAGGUGAUAAUAGCAGAUGUGGGUACUCUGGAAAUUGCAGUAACCAGAGACUGCAGAUCCCAUCCAGAGCAGGCAGUUGAUACUCUGCUCCACUCCAUUAUUACCAAGGUGAGAAUGUGGGCCAACUGUGUCAGAGGAUUCAAUUACUUAAGCUAAGCUAGAGGCUGGCUGCAGUGGCUCACACCUGUAAUCCCAGCACUUUGGGAGGCCAAGGCAGGUGGGUCCCUUGAGCCCAGGAGUUCAAGAUCAGCCUUGGUGUCAGAGCAAGACCCCCUCUCGAAAGAAGAAAGAAGGAAGGAAAGAAAGAAAGAAAGAAAGAAAGAAAGAAAGAAAGAAAGAAAGAAAGAAAGAAAGAAAGAAAGAGGGAAGGAAGGAAGGAAGGAAAGAAAGAAAGAGAGAAAGAGAGAGAGAGAAAGAAAGAGAGAGAGACGAACUAGAAAUUUUAUUUUCACUGUAAUUUCAAAUAUUAAGUAAUUUAAAAACCUUUAACACUGUACUUACACCAAACAAGACAUAGCCAAGGGCUGAAUUCAGCCUACAAGCCUCUGGUUUACAAUAUUUGCAUUAGAAACGCCUAGAGUAGAUGGGCAUCUAUAUAACUCAGCUUUGUAAUUUCAUGUACUGUUUCCCAACCGCUGGGUUCCUAAUCUUGGAAAAAUCUGCUUGAGCCAGGACUGCACCUGCAUCUUGAAUUGAAUAAACUGGUACUGGAAAGAGGAGCAUGAGCACCUGCUGUGUGCCAGCUUGUGCCAACAACUGAAAAAUGUGAUCUUACUACUGUCUCAUAAAGAGGUGCAAGGUGGGCACGCCCAUCCUGGUUUCAUAAAUGAGAUAACCCAGACUCAGAGAGAUUCAGCAACAUGCCCAAGUUUAUGUGGCCACAGUUGACAGAGCAGAGAUUCACAUUCAGAUCUGUCUGACACCAAAGCCCAUGUACUUGACCACUUCAUAAAAUGGCUUGUCAAUUCAGUUAAACAUAUGCAGAUAAUGUUAGCCACUGAUACAAUACAUACAUUCCAAAGUCUUCAUGGCUUAAUCCAGUUGUAGGUUAUUUCUCACUUACCCAACACCCAAAAGUAUGUAUCUGACCAGCAGGCAGCUUCUCGCCAAUCAUUCAGGAACCAUCUUCUAGCUCAGCUCUCUUUUACCGUGGUUGCCAACAGGAGAGUGUGGGGAAGAACAUGGAGUAUAUCACACCAGAGGGAUUUAUGGGUGGGGCUUGGGAGUGGUGCGUGUCACUUCCAAGCACAUGCCACGUCUCUGAGUCCAGACACAGACCACACAGGACAGGGCAAGGGAGGCUGAGAAAUGUCAUCAAGAUAUGACCCAGAAGGAAGAGAAAAC
Molecule: long non-coding RNA, 5403 nt
Filed under: Homo sapiens (human)
Lineage: Eukaryota; Metazoa; Chordata; Mammalia; Primates; Hominidae
Description: HSALNT0135862
Source: RNAcentral